Molecule: ribosomal RNA, 497 nt
Filed under: uncultured bacterium
Lineage: Bacteria
Description: partial 16S ribosomal RNA
Rfam family: Bacterial small subunit ribosomal RNA
Source: RNAcentral
GAUGAACGCUGGCGGCGUGCCUAAUACAUGCAAGUCGAGCGAACAGACGAGGAGCUUGCUCCUCUGACGUUAGCGGCGGACGGGUGAGUAACACGUGGAUAACCUACCUAUAAGACUGGGAUAACUUCGGGAAACCGGAGCUAAUACCGGAUAAUAUAUUGAACCGCAUGGUUCAAUAGUGAAAGACGGUUUUGCUGUCACUUAUAGCUGGAUCCGCGCCGCAUUAGCUAGUUGGUAAGGUAACGGCUUACCAAGGCAACCAUGCGUAGCCGACCUGAGAGGGUGAUCGGCCACACUGGAAGUGAGACACAGUCCAGACUCCUACGGGAGGCAGCAGUAGGGAAUCUUCCGCAAUGGGCGAAAGCCUGACGGAGCAACGCCGCGUGAGUGAUGAAGGUCUUCGGAUCGUAAAACUCUGUUAUUAGGGAAGAACAAAUGUGUAAGUAACUAUGCACGUCUUGACGGUACCUAAUCAGAAAGCCACGGCUAACUACGUG